Molecule: non-coding RNA, 2863 nt
Organism: Cyanistes caeruleus (blue tit)
Lineage: Eukaryota; Metazoa; Chordata; Aves; Passeriformes; Paridae
Source: RefSeq, a predicted model, not a curated record
UUCUAUUAGAAUACUUACAGAAUUACUGCCACAUAGAAUAAAUCAUGAAUUCAUAACACUUCAUUUCUAUUUCUACCUUCUUAAGAAAAGAUGAUUGUUCAGAUAAUCUUCUUUAGAUAUAGUUGUUUUAACUUACUCAUAUACAUGGUAAUUUAUUUAAUGAAGUCUGAUUUCUUGCUGUUUUGGUACUAAUUUGAUCCAGUUUCCCUACUGUAUUGUCUUGUGGCAGUCAGGUCUCCUUUAGAGCAGUAUUCUCUUUUCUUGACAUAUUUUGGGUAAACCAAGCUGUAAUGCAGUUUCCUAAUCUCUGAGUGUCAUGCUGUCCUCUUUAGCUUUUUGCAGGACAGGAUGAUCUUACAGAAAGAAAUUCACCCAGUAUUACUUCCACACAAGAGGAGUAAAAUAGGAGUCUGCUUAUACAUAUUUUAAAUUAAAUACUACUGACAUAACUUUUCACACCUUCCCACCUGAAGCCCUUUCUCCAAACUAAUUUGGUCUCAAGUAGAAGCAGCAUCCAGUUGACAAAUUUGUCAUAGAACAGACACCUCAAAUGCUCACAUUUUAAGCAAAAAUACCUAUUUUUUAUUAUUUUUAAUAUAAUUUUAUAUAUGCCAUUUAGCAUCAAGAGAGGGAGAACCUGAUAAUACAGUUUUUGGGAGAAGUAGAUCAAAAAUGCCAUCAGAAGACAUGGGAGUUUUAUGUGUGAUUGCUGCUCCUAGACCCUGAUGAAUCCUCUGAGAACACCUUGGACUGGGCCCACUGAUAGUUCUGUGGGAACACAACCCCUCUUUCUCCCUACAGGAACAAUACAGCGGAAAAUCUGCUAAGACUUUGUCAUGGAAUUUCCAUCCCCCCUGAAAGAUUUUCCAAUACAGGAUUAAUCUGGACAGUUAAUGGCUUCUUAGCUGAGCUUUAACUUUGGUUCAAAAGCACAUGAAUGUUCUCUUGGGUGGAAUAGCAGGCUACUGAAGGAUAUGAAAUAUUUCCUCAAUGGAGGCAUUUACCAAAGCCUCUGUAGGACUUCCAUGAAUCCCUGAAAGCCAAGCCUUCUGAAUAUUCUCAUGUUAAUUUAUAUAGAUGUUUUAAGAAAGGAGUCAUGGAAUCCCAUACCUCAUAUACAUUAAUUUUCCAUCCAGCAGAAUAACUUUGGCCAUCUUGCACUUCAAUGAAAACCUCCUCUGUAAGCAGCGUGUUACUGAAUAAUGGAAAGUUUCGUUUCCAAAAUAUAAUAAAAUUGCAGGAAUAGUGAAGGAAGUGAACAUUACUUGCACUUAUGGUACACUCAUUUAUGCUUUUACGAAUAUGAAUUUGUGGUUUCCUUUUAUGCUGUUGUUUUGUUUAAAGGAAAUCUACUACAGCAUUUAAAACUGGAUUAAAAUGUUUCUUUUGUUUCUGCUUUUGAGCCUUUUACAAAGUAAUUAUGUUUUAAUGUUGGUAUUAUAAAUGUUUAUGCAUAGGCCUAGUCCAAUUACCUCUUAACUUGGUGAAAAGAUCCCUUUGAUGUUGAUGGGAGCAGGAUCAGGCGAAUACAUUAGUAUACAAAAUUUUUAAUGAUCCAUAAAUUAACAAAGACAUUCCUGUCAUCUGAUUUUCCAAUGUAGAUAUGUUACCUAAAUCAAGUAUUUGCAUAAACAGUGGAAUUAAAGAAGCCUUAUUUUAUAUGAAUAUUUUCUGAGGGUGAAUUUCCAUGUGGAUUCUCCUAUGCCUAACCAUGAUUGCACUCACACUGUAGCCUUUGCUGCCAGGACAGCAACGUCUGUAUCCCCUUGACCUUUGAGGCCAGUUAUUUUCAUGAGACUUGUAGGAAAUGUAUACAGAUGAGUCUUUCAGCUCCCUGUUGAAUUUGGGCAGAAAUAGCUAACAGAUUUUCCAGGAGCUGGCAGAUAGGCAACACGAAAGCUUAAAAAUGCUGUAGCUGCAAGCCAUGUUCCUGGGGAAACCGAACUAAAAGUGAAGGAAUGCACACACUGGACUUUGUAUCAUCAGACUUUGAUAAUAUGCUAAAGGAAUGGUUAAUAAGAAACCACAAGUGUAGACUUAAAAGGAACAAGAAGUAAUCUAAGUUUUAAUAAGCAACACAGGAAGCCUGGUUAUCCCUGUAAGCACAGCUCAGCAUUACACAACCUCAUGACUUCCCAGGGGAGGCAUCUUGUUCCACUGAGACCCCAAUGCCUCCCGGAGCUUCCCAGCGUACAGUUGGUAUUUGAAAUAUUUAUGGUACUGCUACAUGCCUUUGGGAACAGUUGACUCCACCAAGAAUUAAGACUUUCUUUAUAAGUCAGAACAGGAUGGGAACAGACCUUGGCUUGGUUCCCUCUGCCCUUUGGUAAGCAAAAUAGGGAAUGAUUUUACUUAAUUUCUGGGGAAUGCACUCUUAAGAAUGAGGAAAGAGUCCUUAACUCAGCUAGAAGAGGGAAAUGAAGAAUUCAGUGUCAGACUUUAGAGUCUUUUUUUCAUUCUUCUUUCUUUCCAUCCUUCUAGUCUCCAUUUUCAAGAAGACUACUGCUGAAGUAAUAGUGACCCGUCUGGUGGCUACAGGAAAGUCUGUGGAUGUUUACCUGGACAACAGGCAGCCCAUGGCUUGGACAGGAACACUCUUCGCUGGGUUAAGAACUGGCUGCUGGCUGGGCCCAGAGAGUGGUGGGGAUUGGUGCUGCAUCCAGUUGGUGUCUCCAGUCACUAGUGGUGUUCCACAAGGAUGGGCCCAGUCCUGUUUAAUACCUUUAUUGAUCAUCCAGAUGCGGGGAUUUGGUUCACCAUUAGCAAGUUUGCGGAUGACACCAAGCUGGAUAUCCACUAAAAGAAUCACAACAGCAAAGGCAAAGACAGAGAUGCAUCUAUGCCUGGCUUCAGCACAUGACAA